Molecule: ribosomal RNA, 554 nt
Filed under: uncultured fungus
Lineage: Eukaryota; Fungi
Description: eukaryotic LSU rRNA
Rfam family: 5.8S ribosomal RNA (bases 193-346)
Source: RNAcentral
GUAGGUGAACCUGCGGAGGGAUCAUUACACAAAUAUGAAGGCGGGCUGGAACCUCUCGGGGUUACAGCCUUGCUGAAUCAUUCACCCUUGUCUUUUGCGUACUUCUUGUUUCCUUGGUGGGUUCGCCCACCACUAGGACAAACAUAAACCUUUUGUAAUUGCAAUCAGCGUCAGUAACAAAUUAAUAAUUACAACUUUCAACAACGGAUCUCUUGGUUCUGGCAUCGAUGAAGAACGCAGCGAAAUGCGAUAAGUAGUGUGAAUUGCAGAAUUCAGUGAAUCAUCGAAUCUUUGAACGCACAUUGCGCCCUUUGGUAUUCCAAAGGGCAUGCCUGUUCGAGCGUCAUUUGUACCCUCAAGCUUUGCUUGGUGUUGGGCGUCUUGUCUCUAGCUUUGCUGGAGACUCGCCUUAAAGUAAUUGGCAGCCGGCCUACUGGUUUCGGAGCGCAGCACAAGUCGCACUCUCUAUCAGCAAAGGUCUAGCAUCCAUUAAGCCUUUUUUUCAACUUUUGACCUCGGAUCAGGUAGGGAUACCCGCUGAACUUAAGCAUAUC